RNAcentral lists this ribosomal RNA (253 nucleotides) under uncultured bacterium. RNAcentral's name for it is "partial 16S ribosomal RNA". It matches the Rfam family "Bacterial small subunit ribosomal RNA", at positions 524 to 776 of the family's 1533-position model. The record is from RNAcentral.
GACAGAGGGUGCAAACGUUGCUCAGAAUUACUGGGCGUAAAGCGCGUGUAGGCGGGCCGGCAAGUCAGAUGUGAAAUCCCUGAGCUCAACUCAGGAACUGCAUUUGAAACUGUCGGUCUUGAGUGGUGGAGAGGGAAGCGGAAUUCCUGGUGUAGAGGUGAAAUUCGUAGAUAUCAGGAGGAACACCGGUGGCGAAGGCGACUUCCUGGACACCAACUGACGCUGAGACGCGAAAGCGUGGGGAGCAAACAGG